RNAcentral lists this ribosomal RNA (235 nucleotides) under uncultured bacterium. RNAcentral describes it as "partial 16S ribosomal RNA". It matches the Rfam family "Bacterial small subunit ribosomal RNA", at positions 120 to 354 of the family's 1533-position model. The record is from RNAcentral.
AGUAACCUGCCUUGGAGUGGGGAAUAACAGUUGGAAACAGCUGCUAAUACCGCAUAAUAUGUCUGUGUCGCAUGGCACUGGGCAUCAAAGAUUUAUCGCUCUGAGAUGGACUCGCGUCUGAUUAGCUAGUUGGCGGGGUAACGGCCCACCAAGGCGACGAUCAGUAGCCGGACUGAGAGGUUGGCCGGCCACAUUGGGACUGAGACACGGCCCAGACUCCUACGGAAGGCAGCAG